This is a long non-coding RNA of Mytilus californianus (California mussel), 826 nucleotides long. RefSeq lists it as uncharacterized. The transcript is spliced from 4 exons. The record is from RefSeq and is a predicted model, not a curated record. Lineage: Eukaryota; Metazoa; Mollusca; Bivalvia; Mytilida; Mytilidae.
UACUGGACAUCACAAAAGUUCCCGUAAAAUUUUGACGUCAUAAUAGAAAAUAUCUGACGCCACAAUGGAAAAGUGAUUGUUGUAUGACGUCAAAAGUUCAAUCGGGACAGAUUCUCGGGUCAAGCGGGAAUAGCGAUAAGGUGUAUAAGCUCAAAUGGUUAUCUGUUGAUUGUUUACAACAGUAUGAAAUUUGCUAAAAUGCUAUACUGUGCUACUGUUUUGAUAUUCGGAUGUAUUAUGUUGUCGUCUGCUUGCAAACUUUCCCAAACUAUCCUGAAAAUCGAGAAAGAGAUAAAAGAAGAAAUUAACAGUCGAGAAAUGAUGCUACAAAAAAAUAUAGGAAACAUACUUAAAAAAAAUAUAGGAUGGAAAGUUCCAACUAAAACGUGUAUUAAAGAAGUGUCAUACAACAGAAAGACAGGUCAAAGUUCAACCCCAACAUGGCUCUACUCUUCACGUAAUGGUGUUGACCAUAAUCUGUUAACAAUGUUUCGUACGAGGUAUGAACAGAAUCCAUAUUGGUGGGUAUUCCUCGGAAAAGACUAUCCAGUUCGUCAUGUCGAAAUAUGGAAUAGAAAACACUUCGGUACAAGACUCCGUGAAAUGGAAAUUACGGUUGGUCGAAAUUUAGGAGCCAUGGAGCUAUGCCAGAGAUACAGAGGCCCGGCUAGGGAUGGACAAAAGUUAAUUCUGAAAUGCAAACACGCUGUAUCAGGCCAUUUUGUCAAGAUUGCCAUAAAAGGCAAGGGAUGCUUAAAUCUAAAUGAAGUUAAAGUGUAUGCGAAUUUCAAGAAAUGUUGAAUUAAUUUAAUAAAGAUGAAAUCUG